This 253-nucleotide ribosomal RNA is filed under the name uncultured bacterium. Its description in RNAcentral is "partial 16S ribosomal RNA". It matches the Rfam family "Bacterial small subunit ribosomal RNA", at positions 524 to 776 of the family's 1533-position model. The record is from RNAcentral.
UACGUAGGGUGCAAGCGUUAAUCGGAAUUACUGGGCGUAAAGCGUGCGCAGGCGGUGAUGUAAGACAGGUGUGAAAUCCCCGGGCUUAACCUUGGAACUGCAUUUGUGACUGCAUCGCUGGAGUGCGGCAGAGGGGGAUGGAAUUCCGCGUGUAGCAGUGAAAUGCGUAGAUAUGCGGAGGAACACCGAUGGCGAAGGCAAUCCCCUGGGCCUGCACUGACGCUCAUGCACGAAAGCGUGUGGAGCAAACAGG